Molecule: small RNA, 572 nt
Filed under: Pan troglodytes (chimpanzee)
Lineage: Eukaryota; Metazoa; Chordata; Mammalia; Primates; Hominidae
Description: retained intron
Source: RNAcentral
AGAACAGGCGCCUUCUCCUUCCUGCUCUUGCCUACUUACUGUUCUCUUUUCUGCAGGUGGAAUAUGUGAUCAAGUGUGACAUGUCGGCUCUGCAGAAGAUUCUGUAUCGCCAUAUGCAAGCCAAGGGGAUCCUUCUCACAGAUGGUUCUGAGAAAGAUAAGAAGGGGAAAGGAGGUGCUAAGACACUUAUGAACACUAUUAUGCAGUUGAGAAAAAUCUGCAACCACCCAUAUAUGUUUCAGCACAUUGAGGAAUCCUUUGCUGAACACCUAGGCUAUUCAAAUGGGGUCAUCAAUGGGGCUGAACUGUAUCGGGCCUCAGGAAAGUUUGAGCUACUUGAUCGUAUUCUGCCAAAAUUGAGAGCGACUAAUCACCGAGUGCUGCUUUUCUGCCAGAUGACAUCUCUCAUGACCAUCAUGGAGGAUUAUUUUGCUUUUCGGAACUUCCUUUACCUACGCCUUGAUGGCACCACCAAGUCUGAAGAUCGUGCUGCUUUGCUGAAGAAAUUCAAUGAACCUGGAUCCCAGUAUUUCAUUUUCUUGCUGAGCACAAGAGCUGGUGGCCUGGGCUUA